Molecule: long non-coding RNA, 9515 nt
Filed under: Taeniopygia guttata (zebra finch)
Lineage: Eukaryota; Metazoa; Chordata; Aves; Passeriformes; Estrildidae
Description: lncRNA (ENSTGUG00000026877.1)
Source: RNAcentral
UUGAGAACUUUAUUAAAAAGCAUUAGCCUACAGCUGCUUUUGAACAUCUUAGAAUCAUUUCAGCAAGAUUUCUCCCUUUCUGUUAUUGCUUCCCCCAUUUGGGUGUAACCAUCAUAAUUUGUUUUUAAAAAGCCAAGAGAUUACUACAUAACACUAAAUUACUCUGCUCUCUUUUUUGAGUAGAUAACACAAGUAAAAAUAACAUCAACAAAAUUCCUGCUAAGACAACAAAAAAAACCCAGAAAAUGCAUGCCUGAAGAAAAUAAAGGGAAUUUGACUGGCAUAUUUAGACUUCUACAUGAAUUAAAAUUUUAAGUCUCCCCCAUUUCUCAAAAUCUCUUAUUAGAUAGAAGAUUGGUAUCAGCUGUACUAGUUAGGAAAGAGGAGUUAUCUUGAAGGCGAAGCUGUGGUGUUUAAGUGCACAUGUGUAGGUGUGAGCAUAUGCAAGUUAAUAAUUCAGGAAAAUGCUAACAUGGCUGCAAUAUUUGUACCUGAAGUACAGUCCUAUGCCAUUUGUCAUCCUCCUGCAUAUUCUGAUGAAUUUAAUCUUGCAUAAACUACAAUCUAGAGAAGUGACAGAUGUCAAUUAUGGUAAUAAAAAUUCACACCAAGAAAUUAGGACCUCUGAAACUAUCCUUGGAAACUAUAGACCUUUUAGCUUCCCCCCAAAAAAAUAAAAAAUGAGUCACAGGAAAAGUGUGUUCCUUAUGGCCAGCUAGAUAUAACUAAAACAAAGGCUUUGUUGAAAUAGUAUAAAAAAGCAAGACUACACAGAAAUUUUUACUCCCAGAGAGACUAUUAUGUAAAGUCAACUUACAUAAAUAACAUACCAUAUGGGGUAAAUUUCUUUGGAUAUUCCAUGACUGAGAUUCUGUUUAGUAUGGGACAGACACAGAAGUGCAGAGACUUCCUCUAGUGGAUCCUCCAGCUUUGCAUUCGCUUCUCUUACUGAGUGGCUUUUUUACUUCCACCAGUAGUGAGGACGAAUGUUAAGGAAAUUAAAUUAUGUUGCAGAAUUAUUUAUUUGAAGCGCAAGCCCUAUUAUAUUGUUUUGGGAUCCUUAUACAAAUCAUAAGGAUGACACGCUCUAAACUUGUUCUAGAAAACGAACAGCCAUGGGUAAUAACAUAUUGUAGAAAAAUGUAAAAAAAAAAAAAAAAUUUAAGUAGAGCUCUUCAGGACUUCAGCCAAAACUUAGUGUAGAAAUAAUCAGAGGUGAGAUAAGGCUUAAACUCACUGAGUCUUAAACUCUUUUCCUUCCAAGGCUAAAGGACGGGAGAUGUCACCCUGAUGUAUACAUACCUUGCUACUGCAGAAGUCAUACUGUGGAGAGAAUGCAUACAGCAGCUGAAAGUGAGAUUGAGAUAAAGUGUGUAGAAAGUAGCAGCCUUAUAGGUUUUCUGUAAAUUAAAUACUAAGGAUUCAUUUACUUAGUAAAUUACAUAGAAUAAUAACUCCUUAGCUGCUAAAAAACCUCAUGCAUUUUAGUGAACCCAUACAGAUUUACUGAAGCCAAGUAUAAUAAGAACUAGCAUCAAUUAGAGUUGUAUUUCUGUGAGGGGAAGUUGCUAUUCUAAGUAUGUUCAAGUUAUCCUCUAGGUUUUCCAAGUUUUGCUACCUGAGUUUAAAUAACCAGCCAUCAGUCUAUAAAAGUAUCAUUCUGAUCUUCUCAGGAGAAGCUUGAUGGCUCCUGGGAAGAAUUUUGGUACUGAACCUCCAAUUCUCUCAGCAGGAUAGCUUCCUCUGGCUACUUCUAAGUUUCAUCCCAUGGACAGGACACUUACCCUAAGAAAGGGACCUUACAGUCAUGGAGGGCAGAGCUGAUUCAUUUCCAGCACAGCUGCAGCCAAGCGCUGUUCAACAGUAAAGCUGCACUGACGAGUAGCACUAAAACAAAACUUUUCCACACCAUUAUUUAGUACAGGAGACUUGCAGUCUGAGAAGUAUAUUUGCACUGGCUAUUAUUGGAUAGUGAAGAUGUCCUACUGCUUUUAGAACACAGCAGGGUUCAUGCAUUCUUCUAUACUGAAAAGCACCAAUUAGAGAGAUUAAAGAGCCUGAUUUAAUGGCUGGGCCAGCGCUGAAUUUUAGAGGACUUCUAAAUUUGCAGUCCAUUUGCAAUUUCAUUAACAUAAUUGGCAAAAAGACUUACUUAGAUUUACUUAAAUUGUUUUUAUAGGUGCAGCAUAUCAACUAAUUCUUUUGAAGCCUUUGUAGAGUCAGGAGCAUCCUCAAAACUCUUUUUAAAGAGACUUAAGUAACACUUUAGCUGUACAGCUGAAGUGGACUCCUCCUAAGUGAAGGACUUGCUGAAUGCAAAUGCUGGAUUACUUGGAAUAGUUUAAAUACCUUGUCUGUCUUCUGUUGAGCACUUAUCUCCUUCAUAUGUAUCAGCUGGCAGGCCUAUACUGGUUAUCUUAAAUGACACAGUGCUCAGGGUAGACAACUAAUCCAUGCUAUGGAUCUGCCUGGUUCUAAAACAACAUGUCUUGAAAUAUCCCUCCCAUAAAUAAUUAUAGUUCAGGCCUUAUUUUCAAAGUGCAGAAUAAUUAGUAGAAUUACUUAUAAAAGAUUUGGGUUGCUUCAGUCAAGUAUACCUCCAACUGGUAGGUAUAAUUGCAAACACAUUAAGUACCCUGGGUACACUCAUAAAAACAGGAAAACAUGAAGAAAAAACAUAGAUGAAAGCCUUUGUCUCUUUUCAUGCUUUCUUCCAUUAAGAGGAACCUAAGUUAAAUCCUUUGGGUAAAUUCUAUUGCCUUUCACAAACAUUUCACCUUGUAUGUGGAUUACAUUUGAUGAUUUUGACAUGAAAAGCAUUUUUAAAAUGUUUUAAAGAGAGGAUCUGUAUUAAAUUUGGCUUAGAAGCAUAAUCAGACUGACCUUACUUUUGGGCUUUUUAAAACAGGAAAUUACAAUUCAGCCAUGAAAGAUCUGAAUUUUUCAGUAUAGUCCUUAAGCAAAAAAAUCAGGCAGCUCUGUAAUGUACUAUUUUGGGGAAAGAGGAGAAAAAUUGCUGUUUCCCAUUGCUCCCUCACCUCUCUUCUCCUAAGGUUGGGUAUGAGAGAGAAAGAGAAUAAGGUCUUCUUAAAUUCUUAAAAAGAAUAAGGCCUAAUAAAAAUAAAAUUUAUUUUUAAUCUGUCAUUAAGUACAUAAAUUGUAAUUUUACUAAAAAGAGACAUGAACAAUCUACUACACAUUUCAGCAGGUGAUUUUCAAAGUUACAUAAUCUGUUUAAAUAAAAAAACCCAAGGCAAACCUCAGAAUUUCAACCCACUUUACCUUUUGACUCUUGACACUGCAGCCAUCACUAUCAGUAUCCAUAUAAAAUUACUCUUAGACUGAUAAAAUGAUACCUGUAACAGAUGCUGACAAGGAAUAAUGUCCUAUCACAACAAAUACCUAUGAAGGAGCCAUUCCCUCCCCACAGAAAUUGUACAUUCCAAAGCAAAAAGCAGGCUGUUUUUCCACUAAAUCUUACUAGGAAAAAAAUUGACCAAACAAAUUUCUUGAUCAAGAAGAUCUCUCAACAAAAAUAGAGAUGAAUUUUCAGUAAACGAGCUGAAAUAGUUAAAAUAAGGGGGAAUAAAGGUGUAGCUCUACCAUGAGGGGAUGGAACACUAAACAAAGUACUUCAAUAUACUGCUUGGUAAAUUAGAUUGUCAUCCUAAUUGUAAUACUGGUGCACAUAUCAUAAUAAAUAUUAAAACAAAUCUAUAUGAAAUAUCAUCUUACCACUUAUGCUUCCAGUUUCUCUCUGUAAUCACAGUUAAGACCUCUACAGGACAUUAGAUAAAAAGGAAGAAAUAGAUAGCUAUAAAGUCAGCCUGUGCAGAUGGACACAGAAAAAAAAUUCUGCAGUUCCAAUCUUAAGAGCUUUUGUGCAGCUAUUCAUAAAGCAAUAUUAGAGUGGAAAUAGCACAUAAACAGUGUCAUAUACUGUUCUAAACAGUGUUUAGAUAUCUUUAUUAUCUCCUAUAAAUUGCUUUUCUGCUUUGGUAGGACAGUACUGCUACACAGAUUGGGUCUGGUGGCUUGACUGAGAAAACCAUUUUGCCAGCAGUGGUUCUUCUGUGCCCAGAGAGAAGGUAAUGAAAAGUUGCAUUACCAGGCACUGGCAGCUGUCCGUGCCAACAGCAUGCCAUAAAACAGCAGCAGCGUGGACUCAGCUUCUUGGGCCAGAAUAGGAAGCCUAAACCUUUUCUUUUUUUCAAAAUAAAACAUUAAGACAGCAACCAAGAAUACCUUUCUAUGUUUCUGAAGGCAUCAUGAUAUAAAUAUUUGGUUAAUAAUGUAAGGCAAACUAUAUCUGAAAAUACUAAUGUUAUAAACUGAGAUUUAUAAACUGACAUACUGCAGAGCGCACCAUUAUCUUAAUUUUUUAUUUUUAGAGAAAGCAGAUGUGCACUAUAGGAAAGAGAGGAAAUUAAGGAAAAAAAUAGGGCUAAUUUACCUUAUUUUUAAGGACCUUUAAAAACUAAGCUUUAUAAACUUCUUCCAAAUAGUUUCCAACCAAUUAGGUGGGGUUUGGAUUAAGCGUCCAGAUAUUUAUGCUCUUUGACAUUUCAAGACUACUGCAGCACUCCAGAAAACAAACCAUUUUCUUUAACCAGCUACAAAUGUCAUCAUCACCUACAAGAGACAGAAGUGACAUAGCAUUGCUUUUUUUUGACAUGAAGACCCAGCUACAGAGAGAAGAUGAUUAACAAAUGAAAUUCUGCACCUCCUGUACCUUUACUGAGUUUGUUUAAACAUGUGUACAUGUAUUACCAUAUUUACUAAUACCCACUGUAUUACUGAUUCAUUCAUUACAGACCCCUAUUUCUCAAAAUUAAUCAUAAUUUACAGGGUCAGGAAAUAAGGUCAAACAGACAACUUCAAUUUUACCACAGCCCAACAUCUGAGUGCUUGAAUUUGAAACGUUUAUGUUCCUUUAAUAUAUCUGCUGAAGACAUACUCACAUAUGCACCACAUACAGUUCAAGUGAUUGAGUUCUGGAAAUUCAAAAACUGGAUCAACUUAAAAGUCAUGAAAACUGUUAAAGACUAACAUCAAGGUAUCACACUUUAUGGAUUUCUGCACUUGUAAAAUAUUAGGGGUAAUUCCUCCCCAUUUUCAAGUCUUUGAAGGAUAAAAAAUAAAUCAUAGAAUUUCCAAGACCUUUCUAGAAUGACUCUUCUUUAACACACAUUGAAUGCUUUGGUGGAGCAAAAAAAAACCCCACCUACACCUGUCUGGGGUGGUUUCUGUAAAUUAUACACUCUUCCUCAAGCUAAGCUGUAAUGUUAAAGUCUAUGUUUUAUUCUAUCCUACACAGGCAAUUAUGUAUUUUAAUUGUGGGAAAAUGUAAUGUCAUUCUAGUAAUGGUUUUGCAUACUUGCCUUUUAAAAAAUGAAACUUGUGAUUGUUGAUAAUUUUGUCUUGUUAUCCACUUGGGGAGAAGCUUUCUGCACAUAGGAAAGGACAGACAGACUGAUUUACUUUUAAAGCUGUACCAAAAGGCUUUUUUUCAUUUCCAGGAAAAAAACCUGGUACGAGCAUAGAUUUUUUUUUUCCCAUUCUAAAAAAAAUAUCUUUCAGCUGAAAAAAAUUAAAUCUAUUGCCUCACCUUUGAUCUGGUUCUAGUCUGACCAUAUUUGCAAUAUAGCUUUCCAUUUCAUCAUGUCACAUAAUUUUUUUUAUGGCAUGAAUCACAUUCUCUUGAUAUACAACCAGGAAAAUAUUUUUGUUAGGACUUCUUUCCGAAUUGGUGCAGCAGCUAGAAGAUAAAUUAGAGAUUGCAAUCAAUAAAGCCUGAGGUAAUAUUUUUAAUAAUUCAAUAAAUCAAAAUAUUAAAUAAUUGUGUAAGUGGCAGGAUUCAUCCCUUCUAUGCUCUGAACAAGGUAAGAGUCCCAAGAAAAACACUAUGCAAUCACAAAAAUAAAGACUAUAAUGAUAGCUUUUGAGUUCAGGCAUUCUCAUUUUCAAACUUAACGAUCUUUUAAUGUAAUACAUGAGUAUAAUGUCUGUAAGCAUAUAAAUAUACAGACACUCAUGUAUACAUAAGUAGAACCACAAGCAAUCAGCAAAUUACUGUAACACCAGCUGUGUAUAUAUAGAACUAGGAAGCUCAGAGUCACCAAAUCGCUUCAUAAUGUGGUGGCUUCACUGCUUUCCCCUCCCCUCUCUCCUUCUAUCAUACAUUCUGUGCUUCCUUUGGUUGCUCUUGUACUAUCAUUACAAGCUCUUUGGGACUGAGACUUUAAGCAACUUUUUUUCUUCCACAUGAUAAGGAAAAGCACGCAGCCAAAUAUUUCUGGUGUAGUUCUUUUAUCUUUGAAUAAAUUCUGGUACCAAUAUCCUCAGUCCUUUAGUGGGCAGACAUCUUUAUCUAUGAGGAUGCCACUCCAGUAACAGAAACAUGUGAGUAAUUUUUCUUAAAAUGCUCUUCAAUGAAAAUAAGGGUAACAGAAACUUUCCUGUGUGUCAGUCAUAAAAUAGUCUCAGAUGACAAUUCCAAGCUUUGCAGUGUUAAUAGCAGGGAACAUGACUCCUGUAUUCCGGUAGCCGUGUACUUCAAGAAAAUGGAAAUUAUGGACCAGUCACAUUCCACUACUCGUUGCAUCCUCUUGCUGAUAAGCAAUCAGAUGACACAGAACCAAGCUCUCUGGUUUAUGAGUACCAAUUGCCAAAUCAUCCUCCAAGAGGAUGAAAAAUUGAAAAAAAAAAUGCAUGCAAAAUGAUAAAAUAAGUGAGAACAUUAAUCAUAAUUAAACAGAAGCACAUUGAUUUUUGCCAGCUGGAUUCAGCCACAGACUGUGGUGGGAAGGCUCUUCUCUCUUGGUUAACCCUCCUGAGAACUGUAUUAAUUCUUUAUAAUUAAUUUCUUAGGUAAUAGUGCAAAUAUUUGUCAAAACAGUUGAUCCACCACAAAAUUAAAUAUGGGGUGGGGAAUAAUGAAAACUCUAAUAUAUUCAAAACAAAGAUAAAAAUACCCAAACUGACUGGGUCGAUGGAGGGGGGAAGAGAAAAUGUUCUUUAUAUGAAUCGGUCACUCAAGCAAAGCAGAAUUCCUUGGAUCUGAAAAAUGGUUCACCACCCAUCCAUUCCUCUACACAAAAGGCCUAUCUUACACCACUGUUCAAGGCAGUUGCAAUUAAAUAUAUAUUUAUAGAGUCUUUAAACAAAGUAUAUUCAUUAUGUUCACAGUGACAUUGCUCUGAAGGACGCUGCAUAAAUGGAAGCUGUGCUUACAAAUGAUCACUGCAGAUAAACAAAUAUCUUGAAGGACUCACUCUGCACACAAAGGAAGUUGCCUUGCUUUGUUUAUGGGGAGAUUAGCUCCCUCCAGCUGACAUAAUACCUGGGAGAUAAAAUAACAAAAGGAAACACUUUGUCAAGAGUGUGAAAUCAGAUCCCAAUGCACCUUCAGGAGAGUGCAUCUGGGGCAAGUUUGUGGGGGCAAGAACCCUUUGUCUCCUUACGUGUCUAUAUAGCACAUAACUGUGAUUUGCAUCUCACAGCAUACAUCUACAUGAUAUUAACAAAAGGGUUACCAAAUAAGGCUGAAUAAUGCUAGCAAAUUGUAACACGGUAAAAAAUAAAUAAUCAAAUAUUCCUCCCCCAGAUCUACAAAAGCAGUGCUGCAUCCAUGCAUCAGUUAAGUAUUCAAACCCUAUCAGAAGGGAGGAGUGAAAUGAUGUUUAUCUCUAAGAGGUAAUUUUACAGUUUAAUGUAAAAGAUCUGCCAAUUAUAGUACACUUCAGUACUAGAGUACUGUUCUCCUAAAACCUGAAGUAAAAAUCUAAAGGAUAUACAGCAACUGUGUUUCUUUUCUUCAUAAAGGAAUUUCAGGAUAGUUCCUACCAUCUGCCAGAAUCCCCAAUACCAGCAUUUAGCCCAAAGUUCACAUCUUGUUGGCUGUCUUAACAGCUAAAACAAUGAUUUUCCUAGGUGUGAUUCUUAACUUCUAUCACACCUGUUGAUCCAGGACAGAAAGGACUCCUGCUUACAGAGCUGUAGGGAAAUUAAAUUUCUUAUACUGUUUCAGCUAUGAAUAAGAACAGCUCAGCUCAUGUAUGUCCUUUAGUGCUUUCCAGGAGUACAAUAAAAAGAACUGCUGAACUGUCUUAUGGGACUGAAGGCUAAAUUACGGUUUUGUGGGCUGAGAUAUAGGAAAAAAAAUGCCCCUAGUUUAUCGGGGGGACUGCUAAACUUUAGAAUAUAUUAUUUGUACUGUAAAGCACUUUAUUUCAGCAGUAUAUUUCAGGUGUACUGCUUUUUUUUCCUCAUCUCUUUUCUGCUUUUAAUUUUUUGGUGCUUCUACACCUAUAACAACAUCUUCCUCUGAGUUGUUUUGUCUCAUAAACAGGAUAUUUAGUUGAAAUGUAGUUUUGUCUUUCUUGAUAAGGAUUUAGCUAACUUACACACUGAGGUGUGCAUAUGAUUGCAAAAAGCUGCAGUAGAACUUAAAAGUCCACUCUUUAAUAUGAACAUAAAAUUCAGAUAUGAUUAUCUGAAUGUCUGUUUGUAUUUUUGGAUAAGUUUACAGUAUUAAAACUAAUCACAUGUAUGUUCUGCUUACUAGAAAGAAAUUACUUUAAAAAGAUUAUUUUUAAUAUUUCCUCCUUCUCUGCAGGAGUUAUAAAGCUAUAAGUGUACAAUGCUCUAGUCAGUUCUGUAAUAUCUGUAAAACUGUCCACAGUAAAUAAAGUGUGUUGGGUUUUGGGUUUCUUUCAAGAUAACAAUAUGGCUCUUACCAAAAGUUUAAAAAAAACCCUGUUUUAACAAAGAGUAAAGAACCUCAUAUCUUUUCUUAAGUAUAAAAUGCUACUUUUAAAAAUGUACUUUCUUAAGGCUUAUAAAGUAUAUAAUAAGCAAUAAAACCCAUUUCCUAGAAGAAAACAUCUCUGACUGAGCUGUUGCACAGUGCCUAAGCACAUAAGCAUUUAAAACAUUUCUUCUUAUUUCAUUCCAAACGAAAAUGAGUGCAUUGAGUCUUCAGACUGGACACUGCAAACUCAAUUGCCACCAAAAGAAAAAAAAAAGUAAACUGUUGAAAAGUGUGAGGUAAAGGGCAUGACUUUCACAUUGUUUAACAGUACCAGCAGUUCUGAACUCAGCACAGAUGAGGGUACCUGCAUCUGGUACAACUAAACAAGGAAUUUGGUCUAUAAAUUGUAUCUAAUAUUGAUAUUAAAAAUAUUUCAUUAAGGAAUUAACAAACAUUUGCUUAUAACCAGAUUAACUUGAUAGAUUAUUUGAUUUUAGAAACCUUUCUUAUUAGGCAUGAAAUACAAUGGCAAGCCACUAGGAAUCAAUAAAUCUCCACACCUUUUCGAAUCAGCAAAGAAAGCAUGGAACUAAACAAGGGGUUCUACUUGACAAGCAAGUUCCAAAACAGGGGGUAAAGACCAUCAACACUGAAAGGAACCUAGGAGUAAAAUACAUUUCUGAAACGUUUUCAAGCAUUCCACAUUGUUUUUUAGACACUAGAAAAGAGGGAAGAGACAUUUAUUCUUAGUAUAACUGAAAUC